Molecule: ribosomal RNA, 400 nt
Filed under: uncultured bacterium
Lineage: Bacteria
Description: bacterial SSU rRNA
Rfam family: Bacterial small subunit ribosomal RNA
Source: RNAcentral
UAGGGAAUAUUGCACAAUGGGCGAAAGCCUGAUGCAGCAACUCCGCGUGAGUGAAGAAGGCCCUUGGGUUGUAAAGCUCUUUAGAGUGGAAAGAAGUGUCCUUACGUGAACAAUGUGAGGAUGUGACGGUACCACUAGAAUAAGCACCGGCUAAUUUCGUGCCAGCAGCCGCGGUAAUACGAAAGGUGCAAGCGUUACUCGGAAUCACUGGGCGUAAAGCGCGCGUAGGCGGUCCUGUAUGUCGAUUGUGAAAGCCCUGGGCUCAACCUAGGAACAGCAGCCGAAACUGCAGGACUUGAAUGUUGGAGAGGGUGGGGGAAUACCUAGUGGAGAAGUGAAAUUCGUAGAGAUUAGGUGGAACACCAGAGGCGAAGGCGCCUGCCUGGCCAAACAUUGACGC